Long non-coding RNA from Anopheles merus, 4407 nucleotides. RefSeq lists it as uncharacterized. Lineage: Eukaryota; Metazoa; Arthropoda; Insecta; Diptera; Culicidae. The record is from RefSeq and is a predicted model, not a curated record. The transcript has 2 exons.
CGGGAAUGCUACCCGCCAUGCGCGCGCAUACAAGAUUAGUCACCGGCUGGGUCAAAAAUUCUGCCUGCUGCUGACACGUAGGCGUCGGGUGAAACAGACGAUCUUCUGAACGUUCGCUGCAGGGUUUGUUUUGACCGCAGUGUGCUACGCAUGUGAUGUGCUCCAACCGGAAAACAUAACACACAUACACACAUGCAUCUUGACUCGUCUGUUUCUUGCGAGCAAUGAAACUUUAGCAUGGUGUGUCGAGUUAGAAGACCGCGUGCAGGCUAAAUUUAGAAUAUCUUUCAUCCCGACACUCCACGGCACGACAAAAAAAAACGCCCCUCGCAGACAAACAAUUCCGCUCUGGGAAGCGAUUAAGCCGAAAAACAAACUCAAGUAGGCCUUUAAAUCGUUAUGCCAUUAUGUAACAUCAUAGCAACCGCGGUCGUGAAGGUACGAAAUGAUCCCAAUGUCAUUCAGGAAAUGGCGAUCGCUCCCGACGACGGUAUGUGUGUAAAUACACGGUACACAACAAUUCAAACUAUUUACGAAUCCAAUCGAACGGUCGACUCUAAUCGAAGCGAAAUAUCGCACCGGGCGCAACAAUGUAGCCACCACCCCACAAGAUGAUGGUGCGUGUACGACAUCCACAGGGAGGUGUUCGUUUAUUUAUUAGCGAAAUUUGCAUAACCCAUUGAUUCCGAGCAGGUAAGAUGCGACAGCAGGAAACAUGUACGGGCCCGGUGGCAGUCAGUUCUAAUGUGUAUGCUAAUUUAAUCGUAAAACGCGAAAGUAGCCCCAGGUAAACAACAACAUAUAUUGCACCCGUGAAAACGAGAAAAUAUCGGCCGAGUAAAAUAUUGCUGUGUAUAGGGAGCGCUUCACUUCAGUCUAUUUACGAAGCAAAGUCAGAAUUGGUUUGAAAUGCAGGGAUUUAGUUUGUUUUUUUUCCCCCUGUUUGGCUAUUUAUAAUUGCUUCUCAUUUCAUACACGCGCGACAGGUGCGUAAAAUGUCACCCAUUGGACGCCACCAGCCGGUGUGAGCUGUGGGCGUAAAUGCCAAAAAUCAUGAGCGCAGGGGGACAGUGGGUUAAUGUGACAAGCACAGGGCAGAAAAAAGGAAAUCGUGAUUGUUCAUACCAUUCCAUCCGGUGGCUACACUCAAGAUGUGAAAAUUGACACAAAAACAAACCCUGAAUCAAGCCGCGUGCGUGUUGAUCAAAGUUGGCAUGCUCUAAUCGGACUAGUUAACAACGAUUAGAUCGGUUUUCACCUGUGCUACAUAGGCCACGCGACUUUACAUUAACGCUGCGCGCGAUUCCACCUCCAAUCUUCAGUAGGUUAGUAACAGCAAAUUUAUUAGAUAGCGGCAUCGUGACCAAUAGAACAAACGAGAUCUCCACCACGGAGCAGCAGCGCGCGCGUACGCUUGUUUUACGUAACAUCCUCACGCUGGCGCGAUCCCGGCGGCACUGAACCUCGUGACUUAGUGACACAAUCAUCGUAGAAGAAGCAAAUAAACAGUCAAGAACCUAUACAGUGCGCUGUGUUUGCCAGUGCGAACAAAUCGCAAGCAUUAGCAAAAUGCACCACACACACACACACACCCAUCGAACCCCCAUUACAUAUGGGUGGUGGUUGAAUGGAGAGUGCUGUGCCACCACAACGGCGAUUACCAUAAACCCACCAGCGGCAGGAAUUGUGCAGCAAUAUUUUUAGCCUGUGGAUCGAUUUCUCUGUUCGCGGUGACGCAAAGCGGUCACUGCGGAGACACACCCCCAAGGGGCGGGAUAGCAUCGGUAUUUUUUUGUUAUCUGUGCGAUACACAAGCGGGACUGAAUUAAGUUCACUACAAAAAUCGAACAACCCCUGCGUUAACGUGGAUUUAUGAGAUAAGUGCCACUUAACCCGAAAACACAACGCAAAAGAGUAACGUGGAUCGUACCACCUUAACCGUACUCAAGACUCAUGGGCAACAAGCACAUGUUUACUUUCCCUGCCAGCGUCGUGACCGCCUUAUGCGGGAUCGCCUUCGCUGCUGCUGCUUUUUGCAACAGUGUUUCCUGGCCUGGCUACCGUUAUCAGCUGAGCCUGUCAGCACUGUAAAAAUUAGUUACGACAUUAGAAUCGGAUCGCGCACUGCUUUGCGCCAAACCGGACGGACGUACCCACCUAGUGAGGUGGUAGUACUUGCGCUGUUUCCUUUUGUCGCUUUCGCGCUUCUUCUCCAAACGCUCGUUGCUUAUCAACUUGCGCGACAUACACCGAUGACCUUGAGGAGAGGAGAAUGCUGCUCUCCCCCUGCUGCCCGAUGGGCACACCGUAAAGGGCGCUAUACUGCUUGCGCCUGGCAAUGCGUACGUAUGCGAUUAGCGGCCCCAUAGAUGAUAAUCGUAUCGCACCGACACCCUUCAGCAACUAGAACAACACCCCCUUUCUCGGCUGGAAGUGAGAGAUGAUGGGAAUGUCUCCAUGCAUCCCAACCCCUUGCCCGGGGUGGUGUCUGCUAUGACAACAGCGAGCCGUUACCGUACAUCAUACCGAAGCGUUCUCGUUUUCAUCCCCUCCAGCUGAAGUGAAAGUGUGUGUAAUGGAAUGUGCUUCUCAAGUGGCUGGGAUGGCUCGAGUGCGCCGGCCAUCAACUCGUUACUCUGCACAACCCCCCCCGCCACCGAACGGCCCUAUGCAUUGCACAUGCAGCAAACACCAUGAUUGCACAUGCAGUUGAAGAACACAGGGCUGAACAGGAUCCGAACAGCGAACACGUGCUUGCUUGACAACAUCUUGUACAUGUGUUUUUUUAUUGUAUGUCUUGCGCGCUUUAUGCUUUAUCGUCUGUGUGCGGCAUGCUGUAGUGCGGCACUGCUUUAUUAGCCGUUCCUUCUCUCCUUCUGGAUUUUCAUGCCAUUCUGCAUUUUAAACAUACCAGCACAGCGAACAAAUCUGUUAUUUGUGCAAAAAGUGUUGUGCCUCGUUCUGUUCAUUCAUUCAGCACAUUCACAGAAUUGCAUUGUAAUGGUGAUUUUAGAACGAAACUUUGUUUUAACCCCGUGAAAUGUACUACAGACCCUCAUGGGUUAGGUCCACGCCAAUUAGAACCGAUAUUCUGGUGCUUGAUUGAUCGUCACGGGAUCGUCAUGGGUAAAAAGGCAAUGGCGUAUAACUGAUCUCGGCCAGCACCAUCAAUGCAUCUACUCGUUUGUGAGCGCUAACGGCGGGUGUCUCUUACUGGGGGCCACAUUUCUAAUCUAAUCUUUAUUGCUUAUGGGAGGUGUUGGCUGUUCAAUUGGUUUCAAUAACAGAAAAACGUUCAAUAGACACUUUCAACUCAUUCGAAGAAGAAGAAGUCUGUAAUUGUCUCUUUGUUAGUAUAUAAUGACAUUAACGUGUAUGUAAUUUUGAAGUGAAAAUGCUACAAUAAUGGGAAAAGCAACAGUUUCCAAUGUCUUCAAUCGUGCCAAUCGGGCCUUCUCGGCUUUCAAGCAAAUGGCCAGUGAUGAUGGACGCUUUAGCAUUAAGAUACGGUCCGCAACAUGGGUUGGGUGCUACAGAGCACACUUAUCUCUAUCUUACACAUCGUGCUUGACAACUGUACAGAUGAGGAAGGCCCUGAAUCGAUGAUUUUCCCAUUGAAUUUAUCAUUUGAUCAACGCGAGCUCGAUAUCAUCACGUGGUAACGAAAGAUUGGAAAACAAUUCCCAUGUUUUUUUUUCUGCACUUGCACCGGAACACAUGUAGCGAGAACCGCCUUUUUCGCCUUUUUUCCACAUACAUUUCUCAUACUGCUGGCACCAUGUGACGGAAUUAUCUCGUUCGCUUCGAGGUUCCAUGUCAUUGCAAACGAUAAAUGCGUUCUGAACGCGUUUCCUCUUUUCACCAUAGUAGGCGUGAACGCAUGAAUCAUCACAUGGCCACCAUUGCACCACUCUAUGAGCGAUACACGAUACACCAGCAGCAAGUGUAAUUAAAAAGCAGCAGCCAUUCACACUCGGCACGGAAGAAACGAAAGUGCACGGGGUAGCAUUACAACGCGUUCAAGAGUUCUUGCUUCCUGUUAGCACAUCGCGUCGUAACCAAUGUAACCCAACGCACUUAGAGCCACGACGUGGUGUGGUUCGGUCGGGCGCGGUUACAUAAUCGGAUCGCUGUCAGUGUGGUUUUCGAUUUUCGUUUUCGGUACCCCAAACUACUUACCGCCCUUGGUCGGGGUACGGUGGGUGCAGUGCUGGGCACGGUAGCCGGUAAUCAUCUCGUAGUCGCCGGAAUCGCGUCGCAGCGGAAAGGCAAUCUCGAUGAUGUGAUCGCACGGCUGCAUCAGCAUCAAAAUGCCCUUCACCUUCUUCUUCUUCUCGUCCAUCGAGGCGCGGCCCUUCAUGUCCUCCACCAGCUUGUCUUCGCAGAUCUGGCAGGCGCGGUGGAAGA